UAACGGCCAUACCAUGCUGAAUAUCCGGUUCGUUAGAUCACCGAAGUAUGAAGCAUCAUGUGGGCGGGGUCAGUACUUGGGUGGGUGACCACCUGGGAACACCGCGUGCAGU
This 112-nucleotide ribosomal RNA is filed under the name Caerostris extrusa. The record is from RNAcentral. Lineage: Eukaryota; Metazoa; Arthropoda; Arachnida; Araneae; Araneidae.